Molecule: non-coding RNA, 180 nt
Filed under: Denitrovibrio acetiphilus DSM 12809
Lineage: Bacteria; Pseudomonadati; Deferribacterota; Deferribacteres; Deferribacterales; Geovibrionaceae
Also listed under: 2 other names
Description: 6S / SsrS RNA
Rfam family: 6S / SsrS RNA
About the family: E. coli 6S RNA was the first non coding RNA to be sequenced, but its function was unknown until recently. It consists of 184 nucleotides that fold into an extended hairpin structure with a large single-stranded internal bulge.
Source: Rfam by way of RNAcentral
CUACCCCUGCGGCGUUCGUGAUGAUAUAGGAAAAUUGGAGCCAACACUCCAAGACCGGGGGAUGAUACUUUGUAUGGUGUGCAAACCUGCCUUGAGCAGGGAGCCUAAAGUACUCGUGAUUCCUCCGCCCUUAUAAAAGGGCUACAAUUGGACUAUAUCGACGGCGUCUGCGGGGGUUUU